Molecule: long non-coding RNA, 157 nt
Organism: Harpegnathos saltator (Jerdon's jumping ant)
Lineage: Eukaryota; Metazoa; Arthropoda; Insecta; Hymenoptera; Formicidae
Exons: 2
Source: RefSeq, a predicted model, not a curated record
CCACAUUAGAGGAAGGAGGAAUUAUUUCAAAUCCACAGAGCGACCAAAACGAAGUAUAACAAAGCCUCCCCGAUAUUUAACAACAUCAUCAGAUGAAGGACCUCCACAGAGGAGGCGCUUCGCAGCAUCUGCUGCAGCUGGUUCUAUCAAUGACGAC